UCCCACAGGCCCAGCUCAUAGC
Molecule: microRNA, 22 nt
Filed under: Mus musculus (house mouse)
Lineage: Eukaryota; Metazoa; Chordata; Mammalia; Rodentia; Muridae
Description: mmu-miR-3057-3p
Source: miRBase by way of RNAcentral